UACGUAGGGUGCGAGCGUUAAUCGGAAUUACUGGGCGUAAAGCGUGCGCAGGCGGUUUUGUAAGCCAGAUGUGAAAUCCCCGGGCUCAACCUGGGAAUGGCAUUUGGGACUGCAAGGCUUGAGUGCGGCAGAGGAGACUGGAAUUCCUGGUGUAGCAGUGAAAUGCGUAGAUAUCAGGAGGAACACCGGUGGCGAAGGCGGAUCUCUGGGCCAUUACUGACGCUGAGGAGCGAAAGCGUGGGGAGCGAACAGG
Molecule: ribosomal RNA, 253 nt
Filed under: uncultured bacterium
Lineage: Bacteria
Description: partial 16S ribosomal RNA
Rfam family: Bacterial small subunit ribosomal RNA
Source: RNAcentral